Molecule: non-coding RNA, 46 nt
Organism: Opisthocomus hoazin
Lineage: Eukaryota; Metazoa; Chordata; Aves; Opisthocomiformes; Opisthocomidae
Source: Rfam
CCAAAGGCUCUUUUAAGAGCCACCACACGGCCACCGGGGAGAGCUG